This 425-nucleotide ribosomal RNA is filed under the name uncultured bacterium. RNAcentral describes it as "partial 16S ribosomal RNA". It matches the Rfam family "Bacterial small subunit ribosomal RNA", at positions 354 to 796 of the family's 1533-position model. The record is from RNAcentral.
GUGGGGAAUCUUAGACAAUGGGGGAAACCCUGAUCUAGCCAUGCCGCGUGAUCGAUGAAGGCCUUAGGGUUGUAAAGAUCUUUCGCUGGGGAAGAUAAUGACUGUACCCAGUAAAGAAGCCCCGGCUAACUCCGUGCCAGCAGCCGCGGUAAUACGGAGGGGGCUAGCGUUAUUCGGAAUUACUGGGCGUAAAGCGCACGUAGGCGGACCAGAAAGUUGGGGGUGAAAUCCCGGGGCUCAACCUCGGAACUGCCUUCAAAACUCCUGGUCUUGAGUUCGAGAGAGGUGAGUGGAAUUCCGAGUGUAGAGGUGAAAUUCGUAGAUAUUCGGAGGAACACCAGUGGCGAAGGCGGCUCACUGGCUCGAUACUGACGCUGAGGUGCGAAAGCGUGGGGAGCAAACAGGAUUAGAUACCCCAGUAGUCC